RNAcentral lists this ribosomal RNA (253 nucleotides) under uncultured bacterium. RNAcentral's name for it is "partial 16S ribosomal RNA". It matches the Rfam family "Bacterial small subunit ribosomal RNA", at positions 524 to 776 of the family's 1533-position model. The record is from RNAcentral.
UACGGAGGGGGCUAGCGUUGUUCGGAAUUACUGGGCGUAAAGCGCGCGUAGGCGGCCCUGCCAGUCGGGGGUGAAAGCCCGAGGCUCAACCUCGGAACUGCCUUCGAUACUGCGGGUCUCGAGUCCGGGAGAGGUGAGUGGAAUUCCUAGUGUAGAGGUGAAAUGCGCAGAUAUCAGGAAGAACACCCGUGGCGAAGGCGGCUCUCUGGGACGGUACUGACGCUGAGACGCGAAAGCGUGGGGAGCGAACAGG